AGGAGGAACAACCGCAGUGGCGGGGCCAGCUCUCCAGCCCUCGAGUCAGCUACCGCAGUAACUCGGGAGCUCUCGGUCUGCAGGGCCUGGAGGCUCCGGGGGCGG
Molecule: microRNA precursor, 105 nt
Filed under: Canis lupus familiaris (dog)
Lineage: Eukaryota; Metazoa; Chordata; Mammalia; Carnivora; Canidae
Also listed under: 1 other name
Description: mir-8834 microRNA precursor family
Rfam family: mir-8834 microRNA precursor family
Source: Rfam by way of RNAcentral